Molecule: ribosomal RNA, 465 nt
Filed under: uncultured Klebsiella sp.
Lineage: Bacteria; Pseudomonadati; Pseudomonadota; Gammaproteobacteria; Enterobacterales; Enterobacteriaceae
Description: bacterial SSU rRNA
Rfam family: Bacterial small subunit ribosomal RNA
Source: RNAcentral
CCUACGGGUGGCUGCAGUGGGGAAUAUUGCACAAUGGGCGCAAGCCUGAUGCAGCCAUGCCGCGUGUGUGAAGAAGGCCUUCGGGUUGUAAAGCACUUUCAGCGGGGAGGAAGGCGUUAAGGUUAAUAACCUUGGCGAUUGACGUUACCCGCAGAAGGAGCACCGGCUAACUCCGUGCCAGCAGCCGCGGUAAUACGGAGGGUGCAAGCGUUAAUCGGAAUUACUGGGCGUAAAGCGCACGCAGGCGGUCUGUCAAGUCGGAUGUGAAAUCCCCGGGCUCAACCUGGGAACUGCAUUCGAAAAUGGCAGGCUAGAGUCUUGUAGAGGGGGGUAGAAUUCCAGGUGUAGCGGUGAAAUGCGUAGAGAUCUGGAGGAAUACCGGUGGCGAAGGCGGCCCCCUGGACAAAGACUGACGCUCAGGUGCGAAAGCGUGGGGAGCAAACAGGAUUAGAUACCCUAGUAGUC